This 253-nucleotide ribosomal RNA is filed under the name uncultured prokaryote. Its description in RNAcentral is "partial 16S ribosomal RNA". It matches the Rfam family "Bacterial small subunit ribosomal RNA", at positions 524 to 776 of the family's 1533-position model. The record is from RNAcentral.
UACAGAGGUCCCAAGCGUUGUUCGGAUUCACUGGGCGUAAAGGGUGCGUAGGUGGUGAACUAAGUCGGGUGUGAAAUCUCCGGGCUCAACCCGGAGGGUGCGCCCGAAACUGGCUCGCUAGAGGGUGGGAGGGGAGACUGGAAUUCUCGGUGUAGCAGUGAAAUGCGUAGAGAUCGUAAGGAAGACCAGUGGCGAAGGCGGGUCUCUGGACAGUUCCUGACACUGAGGCACGAAGGCCAGGGGAGCAAACGGG